RNAcentral lists this ribosomal RNA (1346 nucleotides) under uncultured bacterium. RNAcentral's name for it is "partial 16S ribosomal RNA". It matches the Rfam family "Bacterial small subunit ribosomal RNA", at positions 28 to 1381 of the family's 1533-position model. The record is from RNAcentral.
GACGAACGCUGGCGGCGUGCUUAACACAUGCAAGUCGAACGGAAAGGCCCUGCUUUUGUGGGGUGCUCGAGUGGCGAACGGGUGAGUAACACGUGAGUAACCUGCCCUUGACUUUGGGAUAACUUCAGGAAACUGGGGCUAAUACCGGAUAGGAGCUCCUGCUGCAUGGUGGGGGUUGGAAAGUUUCGGCGGUUGGGGAUGGACUCGCGGCUUAUCAGCUUGCUGGUGGGGUAGUGGCUUACCAAGGCUUUGACGGGUAGCCGGCCUGAGAGGGUGACCGGCCACAUUGGGACUGAGAUACGGCCCAGACUCCUACGGGAGGCAGCAGUGGGGAAUAUUGCACAAUGGGCGGAAGCCUGAUGCAGCAACGCCGCGUGCGGGAUGACGGCCUUCGGGUUGUAAACCGCUUUCGCCUGUGACGAAGCGUGAGUGACGGUAAUGGGUAAAGAAGCACCGGCUAACUACGUGCCAGCAGCCGCGGUGAUACGUAGGGUGCGAGCGUUGUCCGGAUUUAUUGGGCGUAAAGGGCUCGUAGGUGGUUGAUCGCGUCGGAAGUGUAAUCUUGGGGCUUAACCCUGAGCGUGCUUUCGAUACGGGUUGACUUGAGGAAGGUAGGGGAGAAUGGAAUUCCUGGUGGAGCGGUGGAAUGCGCAGAUAUCAGGAGGAACACCAGUGGCGAAGGCGGUUCUCUGGGCCUUUCCUGACGCUGAGGAGCGAAAGCGUGGGGAGCGAACAGGCUUAGAUACCCUGGUAGUCCACGCUGUAAACGGUGGGUACUAGGUGUGGGGUCCAUUCCACGGGUUCCGUGCCGUAGCUAACGCUUUAAGUACCCCGCCUGGGGAGUACGGCCGCAAGGCUAAAACUCAAAGGAAUUGACGGGGCCCCGCACAAGCGGCGGAGCAUGCGGAUUAAUUCGAUGCAACGCGUAGAACCUUACCUGGGUUUGACAUGGAUCGGGAGUGCUCAGAGAUGGGUGUGCCUCUUUUGGGGUCGGUUCACAGGUGGUGCAUGGCUGUCGUCAGCUCGUGUCGUGAGAUGUUGGGUUAAGUCCCGCAACGAGCGCAACCCUUGUUCACUGUUGCCAGCACGUUAUGGUGGGGACUCAGUGGAGACCGCCGGGGUCAACUCGGAGGAAGGUGGGGAUGACGUCAAGUCAUCAUGCCCCUUAUGUCCAGGGCUUCACGCAUGCUACAAUGGCUGGUACAGAGAGUGGCGAGCCUGUGAGGGUGAGCGAAUCUCGGAAAGCCGGUCUCAGUUCGGAUUGGGGUCUGCAACUCGACCUCAUGAAGUCGGAGUCGCUAGUAAUCGCAGAUCAGCAACGCUGCGGUGAAUACGUUCCCGGGGCU